AGGGGUCUGCGGAGGGGCGAGUUUCUCCGCCCCUCGGGGAGGUUCUGGGCUCGAAGCAGGCUUGGUUGCCAGGCGGGUGUAUGGGGUCCUGGGCUGGCGCUUUGCUUUUAGGGACGAACACUCAGCUUUUCCCGGGUGGGGAGAGAUGGAGAAAGAAAGAUGUUCAGCCGUUGGAGCCGGAAUGACUUUGGGCACCUGCAAGCUCUUCUUCCCAGUUCCAAUGCAUUUUAGCUUGUGCGGAAUGGAUGGAAAACUAAAUCAUUCAGAUAAUUCAAUCCAACCACUUUCAAGCCGAAUUUGAUUAAAAAAAUCGAAUGUCAACCUUAAUGUCCAAGUCACUGGGAGAGUGUGGGGUUUGGGACAGGAAGCAGGAAGAAACUGUGCUCUUGAAGUAUUCCAAAGACUGCUUUAAAUAUCUUUGCGCUUUGGUAGACACUAAGUGGGCUUCAUCUGACAGUGGCAAGGAGGAUUCAGUGGCCCUUCUUCCCUUUAAUCCCUACUCCUCUUCUAGCCACAGACCCCAUUGAUGCCGGCAGAGUUACAACACCAGGUGUUGCCCAGGGUUGGUGUGCUGAAGACCCCCCCCAAUGCAGUUACAGUUGGUAAGAGGCAGCCCUGCACAGAGAGGAUGGGGACAACCCAAGAUGGACCUUUGCUGUAAAUGCAGUGUGCCUCAUGUCCAGAGGUUUAAACCCUCCUGACUCUUCUAGAGAGGAGACAAGAGAACUCAGGGUUCCCAGUUGGUGCGUGUUGGCUGCUCUAUCCACUGACCACAUUCUGAUCCUGACUAUCACUAAACCAAGUCUGUUUUUGAAGAUGGGCACAGCUGUAGAUGCAGGACUGAUGCCAUCUGGUGCAGUUCCACAGAAAAAGAGAUAAAAUUUACCCAGAGUGUGCCAUGCACUGGCUUUUCUGGGAAUGACAAGGUGCCAGGAUUUGUUUUUGGUUCAUUUGCCGGGGUGGAAACUUGAAACGAGGUUCCAAGAUGGUUGCUGCAGCUCCCCCAAGAAAAUGAAGGAAGGUGAAAGGGAAAACAGGGCACACCAUUUUGAUUCUGCUUCCUUUUAAAGAGCUUUCUCAGAUGCCCAGCAACUUAAACUUACAUCUCAUUGGCCAGACUGUGUCAUAUCUCUGAGGCUGCAUGAGAAAUGUAGUUUUUGUAGCUGGACGGAUGACUGCCUUCAACCAAAAAGUCUGAGGAAAUCUAAGGAAAAAAGAUGAUGGUGGAUCUUUGGGGAACAAACUAGUAGUCCAUGCCCUGGUUACAAAAUGCAGUUGUCAAGGAGCAUAAUGACUGAAACAGAUCAAAACUGUAACUUCUUCACAACUAACAGUACUCCAAGCAACAGUGCUCUGCCCAGAGAGUGAGCAGAGUGAAGACAUCCUGGGUUUUUCUCUUGAAACACCUGCCAGAACUGGCUUUUGUGGUCAGCAGAUAUGCCUGCCCUACAUCAGGAUUUUCUAGAGGAGGACCUAGGAACCUGUACACUUCCUCUGAGGACAUAAUCUAUGGAAGUUUGGAACGGGAUGAAGAAGGCUCUACCUUGCCGCUCUCCCAUCUGGUUCAUGUAUCUCUAAUUUUCCUUACAGAUUUUUGGUGGAGUCUAGUUUGUGUUUGAUCCCGAGAAAAGGAUCAUGCCUUUCAUACAUAGGAAAAGGUAAUCUAUGUAAAGAAAGGCUACUUUACUCCUUUCUGUGAUUCCACCACUCAUCUAGGAAUAUCCUGGGAGAAGACUUGCUUCUCAAAGCUGCUUCCAUAAUCAGCCUACAUCCUGCCUAAGCAAAGGAAGAAGAAACACUUCCCACAUCCAGGGCUGUCCAAAAGAACUUUCUGUGAUGACAAAAAUGUUCUAUAUUUGCACUGUCCAAUAUGAUAGCCACUAGCCAC
This is an RNA transcript of Neogale vison (American mink), 1888 nucleotides long. It is a transcript of the gene named small integral membrane protein 43, with no coding region annotated. The record is from RefSeq and is a predicted model, not a curated record. The transcript has 6 exons. Lineage: Eukaryota; Metazoa; Chordata; Mammalia; Carnivora; Mustelidae.